This 332-nucleotide ribosomal RNA is filed under the name uncultured Pseudomonadota bacterium. Its description in RNAcentral is "bacterial SSU rRNA". It matches the Rfam family "Bacterial small subunit ribosomal RNA", at positions 30 to 351 of the family's 1533-position model. The record is from RNAcentral. Lineage: Bacteria; Pseudomonadati; Pseudomonadota.
AUUGAACGCUGGCGGCAUGCCUAACACAUGCAAGUCGAACGGCAGCACAGUAAAGAUUUCGGUCUUUAUGGGUGGCGAGUGGCGGACGGGUGAGUAACGCGUAGGAAUCUAUCUUGAAGAAUAGGAUAACCCGAGGAAACUCGGGCUAAUACUGUAUGAAGUCGAGAGACCAAAAGCAGGGGACCGCAAGGCCUUGCGCUUUGGGGUGAGCCUACGUCGGAUUAGCUAGUUGGUGGGGUAAAGGCCUACCAAGGCGACGAUCCGUAGCUGGUCUGAGAGGAUGACCAGCCACACUGGGACUGAGACACGGCCCAGACUCCUACGGGUGGCUG